Molecule: ribosomal RNA, 609 nt
Filed under: Leifsonia antarctica
Lineage: Bacteria; Bacillati; Actinomycetota; Actinomycetes; Micrococcales; Microbacteriaceae
Description: bacterial SSU rRNA
Rfam family: Bacterial small subunit ribosomal RNA
Source: RNAcentral
UCCUGGGGGUGGAAAGAAUUUUGGUCAAGGAUGGACUCGCGGCCUAUCAGGUAGUUGGUGAGGUAAAGGCUCACCAAGCCGACGACGGGUAGCCGGCCUGAGAGGGUGACCGGCCACACUGGGACUGAGACACGGCCCAGACUCCUACGGGAGGCAGCAGUGGGGAAUAUUGCACAAUGGGCGAAAGCCUGAUGCAGCAACGCCGCGUGAGGGACGAAGGCCUUCGGGUUGUAAACCUCUUUUAGUAGGGAAGAAGCGAAAGUGACGGUACCUGCAGAAAAAGCACCGGCUAACUACGUGCCAGCAGCCGCGGUAAUACGUAGGGUGCAAGCGUUGUCCGGAAUUAUUGGGCGUAAAGAGCUCGUAGGCGGUUUGUCGCGUCUGCUGUGAAAUCUGGAGACUCAACCUCCAGCCUGCAGUGGGUACGGGCAGACUAGAGUGCGGUAGGGGAGAUUGGAAUUCCUGGUGUAGCGGUGGAAUGCGCAGAUAUCAGGAGGAACACCGAUGGCGAAGGCAGAUCUCUGGGCCGUAACUGACGCUGAGGAGCGAAAGCAUGGGGAGCGAACAGGAUUAGAUACCCUGGUAGUCCAUGCCGUAAACGUUGGGAAC